Molecule: ribosomal RNA, 947 nt
Filed under: Corticium roseum
Lineage: Eukaryota; Fungi; Basidiomycota; Agaricomycetes; Corticiales; Corticiaceae
Description: partial large subunit ribosomal RNA
Rfam family: Eukaryotic large subunit ribosomal RNA
Source: RNAcentral
AACUAAGCAUAUCAAUAAGCGGAGGAAAAGAAACUAACAAGGAUUCCCCUAGUAACUGCGAGUGAAGCGGGAAAAGCUCAAAUUUAAAAUCUGGCGUCCUUAGGGCGUCCGAGUUGUAGUCUGGAGAAGCGUCUUCCGUGCUGGACCAUGCAUAAAUCUCUUGGAACAGAGUAUCAUAGUGGGUGAGAAUCCCGUCUUUGGCAUGGACUACCAGUGCUCUGUGAUGCGCUCUCAAAGAGUCGCGUUGUUUGGGAAUGCAGCGCAAAAUGGGUGGUAAAUUCCAUCUAAAGCUAAAUAUUGGCGAGAGACCGAUAGCGAACAAGUACCGUGAGGGAAAGAUGAAAAGCACUUUGGAAAGAGAGUUAAACAGUACGUGAAAUUGUUGAAAGGGAAACGCUUGAAGUCAGUCGCGUCGUGCGGGACUCAGCCUUGCUUCUGCUUGGUGUAUUUCCUGUACGAUGGGCCAGCAUCGAUUUUGAUCGUCGGAAAAAGUUCAGGGGAAUGUGGCACCUUCGGGUGUGUUAUAGCCCUUGUUCGCAUACGACGGUUGGGAUCGAGGAUCGCAGCACGCCUUUAUGGCCGGGGUUCGCCCACGUACGUGCUUAGGAUGCUGGCGUAAUGGCUUUAAACGACCCGUCUUGAAACACGGACCAAGGAGUCUAACAUGCCUGCGAGUGUUUGGGUGUAAAACCCAUCCGCGUAAUGAAAGUGAAAGUUGAGAUCUCUGUCAUGGAGAGCAUCGACGCCCGGUCUUGAGCUUUGGCGACGGAUCUGAGGUUGAGCAUGUAUGUUGGGACCCGAAAGAUGGUGAACUAUGCCUGAAUAGGGUGAAGCCAGAGGAAACUCUGGUGGAGGCUCGUAGCGAUUCUGACGUGCAAAUCGAUCGUCAAAUUUGGGUAUAGGGGCGAAAGACUAAUCGAACCAUCUAGUAGCUGGUUCCUGCCGAA